GAGGGUAUAGCUCAGUAGCUGAGUGUGUGCUUAGCAUGUACGAGGUCUUGGGUUCAAUCCCCAGCACCUUCA
RNAcentral lists this transfer RNA (72 nucleotides) under Camelus bactrianus (Bactrian camel). It matches the Rfam family "tRNA". From Rfam's summary of the family: Transfer RNA (tRNA) molecules are approximately 80 nucleotides in length. Their secondary structure includes four short double-helical elements and three loops (D, anti-codon, and T loops). The record is from Rfam by way of RNAcentral. Lineage: Eukaryota; Metazoa; Chordata; Mammalia; Artiodactyla; Camelidae. RNAcentral also lists the same sequence under 2 other names.